AAUGACUACCUGCAGUAAGUCUUUAGGAUGAGAAGGAUAUUGUGACCUAAAGCUUUCUAUAAUUCCAGGAACUCACUAGCUGCAGAAAAGACUUCUCUGAGUGAAGAGAGAAGUACAAAAUGUGAAACAAAGUGUCACAAAUGCCCUCAAACUUUCUAGCGUGGGAAUAGACUAUGUUUGAGAACCUUGAAGAAUUUGAAAUUUGUCUUCGUACAGAGCUCUCAGUAUGCACUUAAGGUGGCUGCUGCAGACCAGAGUGUUCCUGAACUACAGGUGAAGCCAGUGAGUUCAGAGAAGGACCCAAAGAAUGCAGCCACAGGGCUUGGAGGAUAAUUUUAUGAACCAAUUUCCUGAGAUCUCAGCACUCUUCAUGCAUUGUAGUUUCUCUUGAGCUCACCUUUCAGGAG
This 407-nucleotide long non-coding RNA is filed under the name Parus major (Great Tit). Its description in RNAcentral is "lncRNA (ENSPMJG00000005186.1)". The record is from RNAcentral. Lineage: Eukaryota; Metazoa; Chordata; Aves; Passeriformes; Paridae.